This 580-nucleotide ribosomal RNA is filed under the name uncultured Candidatus Poseidoniales archaeon. RNAcentral describes it as "bacterial SSU rRNA". It matches the Rfam family "Archaeal small subunit ribosomal RNA", at positions 342 to 923 of the family's 1478-position model. The record is from RNAcentral. Lineage: Archaea; Methanobacteriati; Thermoplasmatota; Candidatus Poseidoniia; Candidatus Poseidoniales.
CGAAAACUUGGCAAUGCGAGAAAUCGUGACCAGGGAACUCCAAGUGCAUCGGGUAAGACCGAUGCUUUUCUUGACUCUUCAAAGGUCUUGGAAUAAGGGGUGGGUAAGGACGGUGCCAGCCGCCGCGGUAAUACCGGCGCCUCAAGUGGUAGUCGCUUUUAUUGGGCCUAAAACGUCCGUAGCCGGUUUGGUACAUUCGUGGGUAAAUCAAGGCGCUCAACGUCUUGAAUUCUGCGAGCACGGCCAGACUUGGGACCGGGUGAGGUGUGGGGUACUCUCAGGGUAGGGGUAAAAUCCUGUCAUCCUGAGAGGACCACCUGUUGCGAAGGCGCCACACUAGAACGGAUCCGACGGUCAGGGACGAAGCCUAGGGGCACGAACCGGAUUAGAUACCCGGGUAGUCCUAGGUGUAAACGCUGUGGACUUGAUGUUGGGAGUGCUCCGAGCACCCUCAGUGUCGAAGCGAAGGUGAUAAGUCCACUGCCUGGGGAGUACGGUCGCAAGGCUGAAACUUAAAGGAAUUGGCGGGGGAGCACUGCAACCUGAGGAUUGUGCGGUUUAAUUGGAUUCAACGCCGGAA